Molecule: long non-coding RNA, 920 nt
Filed under: Populus trichocarpa (black cottonwood)
Lineage: Eukaryota; Viridiplantae; Streptophyta; Magnoliopsida; Malpighiales; Salicaceae
Description: long non-coding RNA (PTRI_LNC003642)
Source: RNAcentral
AAAAUUACAAUAGAUAAGUAGACUGUGACUGCACACUGCUCUACAGCACACAUUUUGACCCAAGCAAAAUGUUCUUACUUAGAAAACAGCCAGAUAGAUUGUUGAAAGUGAAAACCUUAUUCUAAGAAACAAAAAUGAACAGCAAUCAAAUUCACAACACAGUUGAAUAAGCUACAAUUAUAAAAUGAAGAACCAGAAAUAAUAUAAAAUCAAAUUGGAAACAUAUAGAUCCUAUGUGAUUUGAUUGAUAAAACAAAGAAAAGGGACUCGAACUUCAAAACUCAGAACAGAUUAACAAAACUAAAUGAAAUGAAAGUCUUCCAAAUCAAAACAGAACAAAAGAAGUGUUUUGGCUGGCUGGUUUCAGGAAAUUGAAACAUGUCCUUCAAUGUUGAAACUAAAAAUUACGAAGUGUAGAGGUCCAAAUUUAAACAAAAAGUUACCUCCCUUUAAAUGUUAAUACAGACAAACCAAAUUCUAUCUUUUCCAACUCCUCCUUAGCAAUCAAACAAAAGAUAAAUCAAAUCCGAAACUGCAAAACCCCACACAACAACCACACACGUCAUUGGAAGGAAAACCCACUUCACUUAUGGAAACUAGGAGCAGAAUGGAGAUUUAACUAUUGUAGUUCCUAAAGCAUGCGAGCUUCAAGACCUUUCCUUUCCCUUAACAUCUCGGCAACCAAACAACACUGCAAACUCUCGCAAACUUUCAAACAGAAAAGAUUGGAAAUGAGAGAUCAGUCCAGGGAAAAAAGAUAUCCAACGUAAUUUGACCCUAAAAAACACCAAUCAAGACUUGAACCAACAGAAGCGGAACCUUGUCUAAAAACAACCAAGAAAAGUUCUUCAAGAUUUCAAAGCCAACAUUACAAGAACAUAAAUACCAUGCAAAAGCAAAAUUAGAAAACAAAAGCACAC